UACGUAGGGGGCAAGCGUUGUCCGGAAUCAUUGGGCGUAAAGAGCGCGUAGGCGGUCCGAUAAGUCGGCUGUGAAAGUCAGGGGCUCAACCCUUGAAAGCCGGCCGAUACUGUCGGACUAGAGUUCGGAAGAGGCGAGUGGAAUUCCCGGUGUAGCGGUGAAAUGCGCAGAUAUCGGGAGGAAGGCCGGUGGCGAAGGCGGCGCUCUGGAACAUUUCUGACGCUGAGGCUCGAAAGCGUGGGGAGCAAACAGG
Molecule: ribosomal RNA, 253 nt
Filed under: uncultured bacterium
Lineage: Bacteria
Description: partial 16S ribosomal RNA
Rfam family: Bacterial small subunit ribosomal RNA
Source: RNAcentral